AUUGAACGCUGGCGGCAUGCCUUACACAUGCAAGUCGAACGGUAACGGGCCUUCGGGUGCCGACGAGUGGCGAACGGGUGAGUAAUACAUCGGAACGUGCCCGAUCGUGGGGGAUAACGAGGCGAAAGCUUUGCUAAUACCGCAUACGAUCUACGGAUGAAAGCAGGGGACCGCAAGGCCUUGCGCGGACGGAGCGGCCGAUGGCAGAUUAGGUAGUUGGUGGGAUAAAAGCUUACCAAGCCGACGAUCUGUAGCUGGUCUGAGAGGAUGAUCAGCCACACUGGGACUGAGACACGGCCCAGACUCCUACGGGAGGCAGCAGUGGGGAAUUUUGGACAAUGGGCGCAAGCCUGAUCCAGCCAUGCCGCGUGCAGGAUGAAGGCCUUCGGAUUGUAAACUGCUUUUGUACGGAACGAAAAGCCUUCUUUUAAUACAGGAGGGUCAUGACGGUACCGUAAGAAUAAGCACCGGCUAACUACGUG
RNAcentral lists this ribosomal RNA (482 nucleotides) under uncultured bacterium. Its description in RNAcentral is "partial 16S ribosomal RNA". It matches the Rfam family "Bacterial small subunit ribosomal RNA", at positions 30 to 507 of the family's 1533-position model. The record is from RNAcentral.